AUGGGGCACUCUCAGACCGGUGCAGCCAUGGGGGCGGUCUCAACUGCCAGGGGAUGGAUCGUUGGCACUUGGCAGCAAGAAAGCAGAGAAACCAGAAACCCAGUCAUAGAUAGGAGGUCAGCAGGUGGCUAUAUAGAGACUUCGCUACUGUGGUCAUGCUGGGCAUCAGUUUGUCCUGUGAGUGGUGGAGAUGAUGGGAAGAGGGGUGACGAUGAUGGAUCGGCAGAGAAAAGGAUUCAGGAAUACUUCCCCAUGGCUUUUCUGCUGGUACAGAUCAUUCCUUUCCCUUUGUCUUUGAUGCUCUGUACUUUCUGCUGA
This 318-nucleotide ribosomal RNA is filed under the name Triticum aestivum (bread wheat). Its description in RNAcentral is "partial small subunit ribosomal RNA". The record is from RNAcentral. Lineage: Eukaryota; Viridiplantae; Streptophyta; Magnoliopsida; Poales; Poaceae.